UUUGUGGCAUUAGCUGCAGUGGUUUACAUUCUCGUGCGACGGGAGUUUCUGUCACGUCAUGAUCGUGUCAAAGGUGCCACCGACGCAGGACUGGCGUACCGGAGGUGUACGAGAAGUGUGCGCGAGGGUGCGCCGCCCUGUGCCGGGACUCGUACCGGAGUUACGGUGUUGUUUCUGGGCUGCGCGAGUGACGCGCACUGCGCAUGCGCAGCGCCCGAGUGGUCGGAGACACGGCGGAGUCUGCCUAGUGACGCCCGGUGGUGCACACGCGGCGUGGAGGGAGUGGGGCGCUCGACGCCCUCCUGCGCCGGAGAGACUGCAGUGACCUCAUCUGCCACAGGCGCGACGGGCACAUGAGCGCGCCAUGCCGCGCUGCCUCAUGGCCAAGCAGUGGCGCGCGCGCGAGGCG
Molecule: long non-coding RNA, 409 nt
Organism: Bacillus rossius redtenbacheri
Lineage: Eukaryota; Metazoa; Arthropoda; Insecta; Phasmatodea; Bacillidae
Exons: 3
Source: RefSeq, a predicted model, not a curated record